RNAcentral lists this non-coding RNA (117 nucleotides) under Gorilla gorilla gorilla (western lowland gorilla). The record is from Rfam by way of RNAcentral. Lineage: Eukaryota; Metazoa; Chordata; Mammalia; Primates; Hominidae.
GCUGGGCGUGGUGGCUCAUGCCUGUAAUCCUAGCACUUUGGGAGGCUGAGGUGGGUGGAUCACCUGAGGUCAGGAGUUCAAGACCAGCCUGGCCAACAUGGUGAAACCCCAUCUCUA